AGUGAACGCUGGCGGUAGGCCUAACACAUGCAAGUCGAACGGCAGCACAGUAAGAGCUUGCUCUUACGGGUGGCGAGUGGCGGGCGGGUGAGGAAUACAUCGGACUCUACUUUUUCGUGGGGGAUAACGUAGGGAAACUUACGCUAAUACCGCAUACGACCUACGGGUGAAAGCAGGGGAUCUUCGGACCUUGCGCGAUUGAAUGAGCCGAUGUCGGAUUAGCUAGUUGGGGGGGUAAAGGCCCACCAAGGCGACGAUCCGUAGCUGGUCUGAGAGGAUGAUCAGCCACACUGGAACUGAGACACGGUCCAGACUCCUACGGGAGGCAGCAGUGGGGAAUAUUGGACAAAGGGCGCAAGCCUGAUCCAGCCAUACCGCGUGGGUGAAGAAGGCCUUCGGGUUGUAAAGCCCUUUUGUUGGGAAAGAAAAGCAGCAGGUUAAUACCCCGCUGUUCUGACGGUACCCAAAGAAUAAGCACCGGCUAACUUCGUG
Molecule: ribosomal RNA, 492 nt
Filed under: uncultured bacterium
Lineage: Bacteria
Description: partial 16S ribosomal RNA
Rfam family: Bacterial small subunit ribosomal RNA
Source: RNAcentral